GGCAGCGUGGAUUAGGCAUGCAAGUCGAACGGGAUCUUAUUGAUUCAAUCCUUCGGGAGAGAAUCUUUAAUUGAGAGUGGCGAAAGGGUGAGUAACGCGUGGGCAAUCUGCCCUCAAGUUUGGAAUAGCCCACCGAAAGGUGGAUUAAUGCCAAAUGUGGUCUCUAGUCGCAUGGCUAGAACACUAAAGGCGGGGAUUCUUCGGAACCUGUCGCUUGAGGAGGAGCCCGCGUACGAUUAGCUUGUUGGUGAGGUAACGGCUCACCAAGGCUGUGAUCGUUAGCUGGUCUGAGAGGAUGGUCAGCCACACUGGGACUGAGACACUGCCCAGACUCCUACGGGAGGCUGCAGUCGAGAAUCAUUCGCAAUGCGCGAAAGCGUGACGAUGCGACGCUGCGUGGAGGAUGAAGGCCUUAGGGUUGUAAACUCCUGUCAGGAGGGAAAAAUAGGCGGUAGGCUAAUAUUCUACCGAGUUGAUGGUACCUCCAGAGGAAGCCACGGCUAACUCUGUGCCAGCAGCCGCGGUAAUACAGAGGUGGCGAGCGUUGUUCGGAUUUACUGGGCGUAAAGGGUGCGUAGGCGGUCAGGUAAGUUGGAUGUGAAAGCCCAUGGCCCAACCAUGGAACUGCAUCUGAUACUGCUUGACUAGAGUACAUGAGGGGAGAGCGGAAUUCUUGGUGUAGCGGUGAAAUGCGUUGAUAUCAAGAAGAACACCGGUGGCGAAGGCGGCUCUCUGGAAUGUUACUGACGCUGAGGCACGAAAGCUGGGGGAGCAAACAGGAUUAGAUACCCUGGUAGUCCCAGCCGUAAACGGUGUCAACUUGGUGUGGGAGGCCAUUACCCCUUCCGUGCCGGAGCUAACGCGUAAAGUUGACCGNCUGGGGAGUACGGCCGCAAGGCCAAAACUCAAAGAAAUUGACGGGGGCCCGCACAAGCGGAGGAGCAUGUGGCUUAAUCCGAUGCAACGCGAAGAACCUUACCCAGACUUGUACAUUAUUAUCUGUACGCCCUGUGUUAGCUAGGGAUAGCCUUCCGUAGGGUGAUAUACUAGGUGCUGCUAUGGCUGUUGUCUAGUUCGUUCCGUGAGGUGUUUGGUUAAGUCCUAGCUUCGUACGCUUACCCUUCUGAUUAGUUGCCUACUCCCGUUCUGCGGGUUGCUCUCUAAUUUAGACUGCCCUUGCAUUAGGGUAGGGUAGGUGGGGUAUGUACGUUAAGUUAGUAUGGCCCUUACGUCUGGGGCUGCAUACGUGCUACUAUGGCCGGUACUAGUAGGCAGCUAUACCGCGUAGGUGGUAGCAUAUCCUCUAAACCGGCCUCAGUUCGGAUUGGAGUCUGCUACUCGACUCCAUGAAGUCGGAUUCGCUAGUUAUGCCGUAUCUAGCUCCGACGGCGUGUAUACGUUCCCGGGCCUUGUACACACCGCCCGUCACAUCAUG
This 1435-nucleotide ribosomal RNA is filed under the name uncultured organism. Its description in RNAcentral is "16S ribosomal RNA". It matches the Rfam family "Bacterial small subunit ribosomal RNA", at positions 38 to 1406 of the family's 1533-position model. The record is from RNAcentral.